AGUCGAACGGAGUGCUCAUGACAGAGGAUUCGUCCAAUGGAGUGAGUUACUUAGUGGCGGACGGGUGAGUAACGCGUGAGUAACCUGCCUUGGAGUGGGGAAUAACAGGUGGAAACAUCUGCUAAUACCGCAUGAUGCAGUUGGGUCGCAUGGCUCUGACUGCCAAAGAUUUAUCGCUCUGAGAUGGACUCGCGUCUGAUUAGCUGGUUGGCGGGGUAACGGCCCACCAAGGCGACGAUCAGUAGCCGGACUGAGAGGUUGGCCGGCCACAUUGGGACUGAGACACGGCCCAGACUCCUACGGGAGGCAGCAGUGGGGAAUAUUGGGCAAUGGGCGCAAGCCUGACCCAGCAACGCCGCGUGAAGGAAGAAGGCUUUCGGGUUGUAAACUUCUUUUCUCAGGGACGAAGCAAGUGACGGUACCUGAGGAAUAAGCCACGGCUAACUACGUGCCAGCAGCCGCGGUAAUACGUAGGUGGCGAGCGUUAUCCGGAUUUACUGGGUGUAAAGGGCGUGUAGGCGGGACUGCAAGUCAGAUGUGAAAACCAUGGGCUCAACCUGUGGCCUGCAUUUGAAACUGUAGUUCUUGAGUACUGGAGAGGCAGACGGAAUUCCUAGUGUAGCGGUGAAAUGCGUAGAUAUUAGGAGGAACACCAGUGGCGAAGGC
Molecule: ribosomal RNA, 666 nt
Filed under: uncultured Lachnospiraceae bacterium
Lineage: Bacteria; Bacillati; Bacillota; Clostridia; Lachnospirales; Lachnospiraceae
Description: bacterial SSU rRNA
Rfam family: Bacterial small subunit ribosomal RNA
Source: RNAcentral